AACAACAAUGAAUCAAGUUUAUCAGGUGAUACAUUAAUUUUGUAAGCAAAAAUAGGUGAAACAAAAGAGUGCGAUGCACCAGUGUCAAAUAAAAUAUGAGCAAUAUGGUAAGAGAUAAUAUACAUACCCUGUACCACAUCCGGGUCGGUGUCGGCAUCCUGCUGGGUAAGGUUAUAAGCUCUAUCCUAGAUAGGAGGCCUUCCUUGAUUCUGGU
This 214-nucleotide long non-coding RNA is filed under the name Carica papaya (papaya). RNAcentral's name for it is "long non-coding RNA (CPAP_LNC015864)". The record is from RNAcentral. Lineage: Eukaryota; Viridiplantae; Streptophyta; Magnoliopsida; Brassicales; Caricaceae.